AUACGGAGGGGGUUAGCGUUGUUCGGAAUUACUGGGCGUAAAGCGCACGUAGGCGGAUUGGAAAGUUGGGGGUGAAAUCCCGGGGCUCAACCCCGGAACUGCCUCCAAAACUUCCAAUCUAGAGACCGAGAGAGGUGAGUGGAAUUCCAAGUGUAGAGGUGAAAUUCGUAGAUAUUUGGAGGAACACCAGUGGCGAAGGCGGCUCACUGGCUCGAUACUGACGCUGAGGUACGAAAGCGUGGGGAGCAAACAGGAUUAGAAACCCCAGUAGUCC
This 274-nucleotide ribosomal RNA is filed under the name uncultured bacterium. RNAcentral's name for it is "partial 16S ribosomal RNA". It matches the Rfam family "Bacterial small subunit ribosomal RNA", at positions 523 to 796 of the family's 1533-position model. The record is from RNAcentral.